CACGUAUUUAGCCGUCGCUUCUUCUGCAGGUACCGUCACUUUCUUCUUCCCUGCUGAAAGCACUUUACAAUCCGAAAACCUUCUUCGUGCACACAGAAUUGCUUGAUCAGGGUUGCCCCCAUUGUCCAAUAUUCCCCACUGCUGCCUCCCGUAGGAGUAAGGGCCGUAUCUCAGUCCCCUUGUGGCCGUUCACCCUCUCAGGCCGGCUACCUAUCAUCGCCUUGGUGGGCCGUUACCCCACCAACUAGCUAAUAGGACGCAAGGCUCUCCUGCAGCGUCUCCUUUCAUCAGGCCGGCAUGCGCCAGCCUGACAGUACCAGGUGUUAUCAGUCGUUUCCGUCUGUUAUCCCUGUCUGCAGGGCAAGUUCCUUACGCGUUACUCACCCGUCGCCUUGGCUAGGCUGCGCAGCGCAGCUUCGCCAAUGACUUGCAUGUGUAAGCAUUCUGUCAGCGUUCAUCCUGAGCCAGGACUCAAACUCUCUAG
RNAcentral lists this ribosomal RNA (484 nucleotides) under uncultured Leptotrichia sp. Its description in RNAcentral is "partial 16S ribosomal RNA". The record is from RNAcentral. Lineage: Bacteria; Fusobacteriati; Fusobacteriota; Fusobacteriia; Fusobacteriales; Leptotrichiaceae.